CUUUCAAGCUGUCAAAAUCUAACAGCCAGAAGUAUUCUCUUUAUCAUUGCAUUUACCAAGCUGCAGUACGUGUGGAAUGUUCCUCUAUGAAGAGAUCGACAGGCGAACAAUCUAGACAUUAGACUAAUUUGCGGUCAGUUGCUCAAUAUAACUAAAAAAACAACGCGGAGGAAAUUAGUAUCGUUUGAAUAAUCACAUGCUCUUUUUUAUGAAGUACACCACGUCACAAAGUGUUUGCUCUCACUUGUGUGUGAAGCGCCAGAUUUUCAAAGAAUGCUGUGCGGAGUGGCAAGCAUGAAGGAGACCAGGUAUAAAAACACGCUGUGGCAGAACAGUACUGCGGAUAGCGACGGGAUGUACAAAACGUGGGAAGUAAGUGGGACACACGACCAAGAACGACACAACGGAUGGAAUCAAGUGAAGAUCAGGCAUUCUAUCUCCCUUGGAGAUGUUCGAAUGGAGGGUUUUCCGACCGCAAGAAGAGUCGAAGGGAUUGAAAACCCAGAUCGGUUCUACAACAGCGAGAGAAGAGAACUGUCGAGGAACAGCGCAACAAAUAGGGAAGUGAAAACGGAUACGCAGGCAGUGGUGCGACCCCAAUUUCAAAUUACUAACGAGCAGCCGACCCGACGUGUCACUCCCGCUUCUAAUGUAACGUUUCUAUCACAAUGGUCAAAGCCUCGCAAUGGAAGACGCGCCUCGGACGGUUUUCUUAGAUUCUCUGAGAAAACAAGCGCUCCAAUAUUUAGCGCUGUCUCGGAAGAACACUGCGCGGAUGACGACAGCACGAAGGCCAAUUCAGUUACCGCAAAUAAUUCCAUCAGCAGGGCCUCCUCUCUGAAUCGUCGCCGGUUUUCUGAUGGUUACUUUCACAGCGUCGCAGGGUAUUCAGGUUUCAAGAAGGUUAACAUUGUGUUGCCGAGGCCGCGAAAUAGUACGAAUGAAGAAUCUGGAGGGUGUGAUGUUGACAAAGGAUGUCAUAGCGAUGUAAAGGAUACAGAAAGUGCUGAUUGUAGCAGAAACGAAGACGACGACCAGUGGAAGAAAUUGGUUGCACAAGCGCAAGGUUUUAAAGGACCUAAAGUCAACGGAGUCAGCAAAGUAAGACCAGGAUUACAGGUGGAGGAUUUUAAAGGAAACGUUGAUCGCUCUAUGGAGGACGUGUUUAGCGACAUAAGCAGUGAGGCAUCUUUUUCAUCGAACAGUUCGUAUCACUCUUCGUCUGACAGCGAUAGUACCGUCGAUGGCACGUUGAUAGCUAAGCCGAUAUCCGGCGAUUUGGCUCCUUUCAAGGACGACAGCCACACAAGUUUGAACACCGCAAGGCCUAUCCGACGAUUUUCCUCGGUGCAAUCGUUGGAUUCGUACCCCGCAAGUGGAAACCAUCCCGCGCGUAGAUAUUCAGUCGCUACUUUAAAUCCAGCACGCUCGUUUAAUGAUUCUGCCGCUACAGCUAAACUGUCCGGUUACAGCACGCAGAGUGCACUGGAACAAGCUCGACAGCUCCUCAGCAGGCUGCAGCAAGAGGGAAAGUAUAAAAGUAAGAAAGAAAGGCUGGACGAAUUAAGUAGAGCGCUAAAGUGGAUCCUUGAGGAACUUAAGCGUAUAAAAACACCAGACAGGGACCUCGUCAGUUUAUUUAUCAGUUUACGAGCGAAAAUAGUGAACUUGAAAAGUGAACUGAAGGCGGAAGAAUUUGAUGCCACCUGCAUUGACCGCAAUGAAGUGGACAGCACCCCGCGAGUCCAACCACUUCUGCUAACUGAGGACAGGUUGACACACUCUCACUCGAGACGAUUCAGCUGGUGUUGAAAGGAAAAUAUUUUUUAUUGUCGACAUGCACGACAGCAAGAUGUGGUCGACCAGACUUUAUCACGUGGAAUACUUCUUUGAUGUCGGAAAAUUUUUCACACCUGUCGCCAAGAGUUAAGUCUGAAAAGAAAAGGAAACAAACAUAAACACAAAUAAACAAAAAUAAAGACAAAACGACAUGAAAAAACUUAUUGAAAGAGGAAGACGACGAGGUCUAAAGGUUGUUCGUUUUGAGAAGAAAGCGUUGUAGCCUUCAAGUAAAACAAAGAAGUAUUUUACAGAAAAAUAGCCCUGACGGGUCAGAUCGUCCUUUCCGUGAAUGUCAUCUUUGGGAACAGAGCAGUUUCUGGCAGACUGACUAUAUUGUUUCUGUAAGCCGGUGCGUGUUCUCACUUGCGCACGCACCAUUGUGGAAUAGGCAGACGUUCUGAGUAAGUGAAGUGUAAAUUCUGGUUUGACACUAAAAAAAAUACCAGGCAGCGGGGUUUUGCAAGAACAACUUCUCUUAGUUGUGCCAGAGCUCGUGGAGUCUGAAAACAAAUAAGUCGUUUAAGCAUGAAUAGGGGCAAAACACUCAAGAAAGAAAGGAUCCAGUUUUCAAAAGAACAAAGGCGUAUGUUAACAUACAAUUUCGUCUUCACUGAAACCCGAUUUGUCGCUCCUGAAUUGAGCAGAAGUUGGUCUUCUAUAAGUUUAGAAGUUAGAACUAGUUAACGAUGACGCAGAAUUCUCCACCUCAUCGUAAGAAAAAAGAACGAAGACGUAAACUAUUAACCAAAAAGUAAUGUAUCUAUUAUAUAACUAUAUACAAUCCAUACCAAAAUUGCUUGUGUCGUAUAUGAAAGCUGAUGAUUGAUGGAAUGAUUAAUAUAAAUUAUUUAGCCCAGUCUGAAAUAUUUGGCGCUCGUAAAACCAUUAUAUUCAGUGUCACCAAAAGACAGUAUGUUUCUUUGUUCUACUCUUUAGUUCCUAUAACUAGUAAAAUUUUGAUUAUUCUGCAUUACUGUGAAAAACUGAACUGAAUUAACGAAAUUAAUCAAUGACGUUUUAGUAGAAAUCAAACGAAUUCAAACUGAAAUAAAAUGUUGAGUUCACUGAAAA
RNAcentral lists this unclassified non-coding RNA (2913 nucleotides) under Stylophora pistillata. RNAcentral's name for it is "uncharacterized LOC111321300, transcript variant X1". Lineage: Eukaryota; Metazoa; Cnidaria; Anthozoa; Scleractinia; Pocilloporidae. The record is from RNAcentral.